RNAcentral lists this transfer RNA (112 nucleotides) under Daphnia pulex (common water flea). It matches the Rfam family "tRNA". Rfam says of the family: Transfer RNA (tRNA) molecules are approximately 80 nucleotides in length. The record is from Rfam by way of RNAcentral. Lineage: Eukaryota; Metazoa; Arthropoda; Branchiopoda; Diplostraca; Daphniidae.
GGUCGUGUGGCCUAAUGGAUAAGGCGCUGGACUUCUAAAUCGUGGUAUUUUAAAGGAACAGUGGAUCACGGUAGCCAUCCAGAGAUUGCGAGUUCGAGUCUCGCCACGAUCA